UACGUAGGGGGCAAGCGUUGUCCGGAAUUACUGGGCGUAAAGGGCACGCAGGCGGGCCGUCGCGUCCGGUGUGAAAGGUCACGGCUUAACCGUGACAUGGCAUCGGAAACGGGCGGUCUUGAGGGCAGGAGAGGAGCGCGGAAUUCCCGGUGUAGCGGUGGAAUGCGUAGAGAUCGGGAGGAACACCAGUGGCGAAGGCGGCGUUCUGGCCUGGCCCUGACGCUGAGGUGCGAAAGCGUGGGUAGCAAACAGG
Molecule: unclassified non-coding RNA, 253 nt
Filed under: uncultured Clostridia bacterium
Lineage: Bacteria; Bacillati; Bacillota; Clostridia
Description: contains 16S-23S intergenic spacer region
Rfam family: Bacterial small subunit ribosomal RNA
Source: RNAcentral